This 175-nucleotide ribosomal RNA is filed under the name uncultured bacterium. RNAcentral describes it as "partial 16S ribosomal RNA". It matches the Rfam family "Bacterial small subunit ribosomal RNA", at positions 1326 to 1500 of the family's 1533-position model. The record is from RNAcentral.
CCGGAAUCGCUAGUAAUCGCGGAUCAGAAUGCCGCGGUGAAUACGUUCCCGGGUCUUGUACACACCGCCCGUCACACCAUGGGAGUCGGAAAUGCCCGAAGUCUGUGACCCAACCUUAGGGAGGGAGCAGCCGAAGGCAGGUCGGAUGACUGGGGUGAAGUCGUAACAAGGUACC